Molecule: long non-coding RNA, 1275 nt
Filed under: Homo sapiens (human)
Lineage: Eukaryota; Metazoa; Chordata; Mammalia; Primates; Hominidae
Description: HSALNT0028697
Source: RNAcentral
AGGGACGCCCCCACAGGUAGACGAAGAGGGUCCAGAGAAAGGUGGGGAUUCCCUAACCCCUUCUUUCUUGGCACAGACAGGCAGAGAACACCUCUUUUCUCACCCCUGGGCAGCCCCAGGAAGUCAAUCCUUCCACUAUUCCUGCUCCGUGCCUCUCUUCCCUCUGCCCAGAUUCCUGGGAGACUCAAAACCCUGUUCAACUCUCUCUGGGCUAGCUGCUCCCCUCCCCAAGAGGAUUUCUCUCCAGAGCUGGUAUCAUCGCUUAAUGAUGUUCCACCAACAAGGGGAAGGUUUCUUUUCUGGGAGCUGCUAUCACUGAAUACAUAAAGAAAUUGAGCCUAUAUGAUUUCAAUCUUCACCUUCUGAUGCUGAUGAAACAGGAUUCUAUGCAGUUUUCCACAGGGAGAAGCAGCAGGCUGAAGUGGCUCUUUAGGGAGACACAUACCUCCACAGGAAGAGCAGUCUAGAUUGUUUUAGCACAUUCCACUUAAGGAUUGCAGUGUGACAGCAGAGAAAAUCCUCUCCAGUCAAGUAAUUGCAUCCAUUUCAUCUUCCCAGCCCUCCUCUAGAUGGGAGGUGGAGGACAGUGGGGACCCCAGCCAGAGCCUGGGGACUUGGCUGCCUUGGAACCAGAACCUGGCCCCUCAGAGGAGUUGCAGAAUUUCGAUAGAGGAGUGGCAGGAGGUGUACUGGCUGAAGAGGAGGCCCAAGGAACUCCUUUUCAUACAUCAAAACUGAGCUUAUCACCUCUACCCUGAAGUCAUCCUGGACAUCACUGGUCCCAGUUAAUCACUCACUUAUCUUUGCCAUCCUUGACCUGGGAAGAGAACGUUGCCCUCAUUGGUCUGGAAUCAGCAGGUACCUCAUGGCUGGAGGUGUAUUUUCAGACUCCUUUGGCAUCUGGUGAGGCCUGUGGAUUCAUUCUCAGAAUCACAUUUUUAAAUGCACAUAAUAAAAUACAUAGAAUUGCAAAGGAAGUUAAUUAUAUUGAAAUACAGUUAUCAAAAAUAUAAAUAAAACAAGUAUGUGGUACAGUCAUAUGUGUGCUUCUUUAUUAAGUCAUUACAAAGCAAGAUCUAUUUGGAGGUCUAAUAACUGUCAUAUGCUUGAAAAAAUCCUUAACAAUCAUAAUAUAUUAAAAAAUCUGAUUUCUACUUUGGCAAAUCAUAGAUAUUGCUGAAACUGUGGUUUAUUGCCUGCAUUCAUAAUUGAAGGAAAUGCUAGAGUUCAGUGAGAAGGUUGUGAAAAUAAAGAGAGCCUUUUUUUCUCAUCAAG